RNAcentral lists this ribosomal RNA (485 nucleotides) under uncultured bacterium. Its description in RNAcentral is "partial 16S ribosomal RNA". It matches the Rfam family "Bacterial small subunit ribosomal RNA", at positions 28 to 523 of the family's 1533-position model. The record is from RNAcentral.
GACGAACGCUGGCGGCGUGCUUAACACAUGCAAGUCGAACGAGGUCCAUGAAGUAGCCAUACUUCGGAAGACCUAGUGGCGAACGGGUGCGUAACACGCGAGGAACUUGUCCCGGUCUCUGGGAUAACAGUCGGUAACGACUGCUAAUACCGGAUGACGACGGAGCGUCGCAUGGCGCGCCGAGGAAGGGGUUACCGGGUCGGGAGGGCUCCGCGGCCUAUCAGCUUGUUGGCGGGGUAAUGGCCCACCAAGGCAUCGGCGGGUAGCUGGUCUGAGAGGAUGAUCAGCCACACUGGGACUGAGACACGGCCCAGACUCCUACGGGAGGCAGCAGUGGGGAAUCUUGCGCAAUGGGCGAAAGCCUGACGGAGCAACGCCGCGUGCGGGAAGAAGGCUCUCGGGUUGUAAACCGCUUUCAGCAGGAACGAAAAUGACGGUACUUGCAGAAGAAGGUGCGGCCAACUACGUGCCAGCCGCCGCCGUAA